This 410-nucleotide ribosomal RNA is filed under the name Acidobacteriota bacterium. RNAcentral describes it as "Acidobacteria bacterium partial 16S ribosomal RNA". It matches the Rfam family "Bacterial small subunit ribosomal RNA", at positions 355 to 776 of the family's 1533-position model. Lineage: Bacteria; Pseudomonadati; Acidobacteriota. The record is from RNAcentral.
UCGAGAAUCAUUCACAAUGGGGGAAACCCUGAUGGUGCGACGCCGCGUGGGGGAAUGAAGGUCUUCGGAUUGUAAACCCCUGUCAUGUGGGAGCAAAUUAAAAAGAUAGUACCACAAGAGGAAGAGACGGCUAACUCUGUGCCAGCAGCCGCGGUAAUACAGAGGUCUCAAGCGUUGUUCGGAAUCACUGGGCGUAAAGCGUGCGUAGGCGGUUUCGUAAGUCGUGGGUGAAAGGCGGGGGCUCAACCCCCGGACUGCACAUGAUACUGCGAGACUAGAGUAAUGGAGGGGGAACCGGAAUUCUCGGUGUAGCAGUGAAAUGCGUAGAUAUCGAGAGGAACACUCGUGGCGAAGGCGGGUUCCUGGACAUUAACUGACGCUGAGGCACGAAGGCCAGGGGAGCGAAAGGG